AAGAGUUAGGUAAAUCCGGCUCUUUUUAAGGCUGAGACACGACGUCGAGCACCUACGGGUGUGAAGUCAUUGAUGCCAUGCUUCCAGGAAAAGCCUCUAAGCUUCAGAUUGUAAGGAAUCGUACCCCAAACCGACACAGGUGGUCGGGUAGAGAAUACCAAGGCGCUUGAGAGAACUCGGGUGAAGGAACUAGGCAAAAUGGUACCGUAACUUCGGGAGAAGGUACGCUCU
RNAcentral lists this ribosomal RNA (231 nucleotides) under Vibrio parahaemolyticus. RNAcentral's name for it is "partial 23S ribosomal RNA". It matches the Rfam family "Bacterial large subunit ribosomal RNA", at positions 1527 to 1754 of the family's 2925-position model. Lineage: Bacteria; Pseudomonadati; Pseudomonadota; Gammaproteobacteria; Vibrionales; Vibrionaceae. The record is from RNAcentral.